GCUUGAGUGGUUGAAGUGGUUAAUACAUUUGGCUGAUAACUGAAAGUUUGAAGGUUUGAAUCCUCCCAGAGGCA
Molecule: transfer RNA, 74 nt
Filed under: Loxodonta africana (African savanna elephant)
Lineage: Eukaryota; Metazoa; Chordata; Mammalia; Proboscidea; Elephantidae
Rfam family: tRNA
About the family: Transfer RNA (tRNA) molecules are approximately 80 nucleotides in length. Their secondary structure includes four short double-helical elements and three loops (D, anti-codon, and T loops).
Source: Rfam by way of RNAcentral